GACUAGCGGUCACAGACGUGAGUGAAGGAAACACGGAAGUUUAUUUUGGAACAAAGUUAAUACGUAGUUUUUGUUAUUUCAAUUUUUAACUACGAGUGAAACAGUGUGCGAACAUCUUGUGAUGCUGUGCUGUUUGAAACACUAUAGUAUUGGUUGAAAAUUAUUUACUGGGCCCAUUUGAAUGCGAUUUUGUUUUAUAUUUAAUUGUCUGUUAUUACAUCACAUUUCGCGCGUUUGGGUAUGAUUUGGGACGGCGUGUGAAUUUCAUAUGUGAUUUUUUCAUGUUACGUUUGUCAGAUCCAACCACUUGUGCUAAAGUUUUCAUAUUGCAGAUGGGAGCAAAUACUUUUUAAACAAGUAUUUAGUGUACUUAUGUACCUCUCACUUAAGUACCUGUACUGUUCACAAAUUGUGAAAAUGUUUCUCCUAUAAUUUCGCAAAGCAAAUGGCUGAGGUUGUGAUGUAUUGUGUGUAGUUAUUGGAGCUGUUUCUGUGUGCUUCGAUCUCCAGGAAAAACGGAAGUCCAAAGUCAGUGUUAAGAGUGGUGAUUGACGGGGCAAGGCGCACAGUGAAAUUGCCACAUUCACUGUGAGUAGAUCAGCAGGCAUGGACCACAGGAAACUGUUUACAUUAAAAAAGAGGAAGCAGAUGAAGUACCUACUGAGUCAGUCUCCAUGGUUGAAGUUUACCUGUCCAGUUUGAGUGUAAAAGAAGAAUUGGAGGAGGUUGUAAACCAAAAGGAUCUGUUGCAAGAUGUUAUCAAGGAGGAUUCUGAACUACAUUUGGACAUGGAUGAAACUGAGAAUAUUGUAAGCAUUCACAUCUCUGAUUUACUGUGUGUAGACUGAGGAAAAACAUCUUUGGUAAAUUGUUUAAUUUAAAAGAUGCAUCACAGUGUAAUAGGCACAGAUCGAGUUUCCUGGAACUCAGCACUAUUAAUAAUUUUCCAAUUUACUUGAGCUAUUCCACUUGCUUUAGAUUAUGAUCUUUCAUUUGCGGAUUGUUCUGAAUAGAAUCUGAACUGGACUUGUAACAAUUGUAUAAUCCUAGUUUCAGUGACCUUGAUAUCAAACAUAUUGUAUAAUGAUUGUGUGUUUGAUGCAUUAA
This is a long non-coding RNA of Schistocerca cancellata (South American locust), 1107 nucleotides long. RefSeq lists it as uncharacterized. Lineage: Eukaryota; Metazoa; Arthropoda; Insecta; Orthoptera; Acrididae. The transcript is spliced from 4 exons. The record is from RefSeq and is a predicted model, not a curated record.